CGUCCUCUCCCGGGAAUGUACCCACAGGCCCCCUCUACGCGCUUGGGUUGCCCAGGAAACCCCAACGGUGACCCCACAAUGCCCAGCAGAGCCCUCGCCCUCUGCCGCUGACGGGGUCACCAGAAUCCAGCGACCCAAGGAAUCCCUCAAGUAAGUCGGCCAAAUUUCGCUGCGAACUGAUUUUCACAUAUGGCCUCACCUGGACAAGAAGGAGUCUUGGAAGUUCCUGGGGCCCAACUCCUGGUUCACGAAGACACACAGCGUCCACGAGCAGGGGGCUGCGCAGCCUUCCCUGGGUCAAGGCGUGGGUUUCAGCCUCAGGCGUGUGUUGCGCUGGAGAUUUGUAUUUUGUGAACUAGUUUCAGGUGGUCUCAGCACUUUUCUGUUAACAGGGAACCAGAGUUUCAGGAGAGAUCUCAAAACCUAAUUUUCUUCAUCUCGCCUCACUCAAAGGCCUCUUUCUUGUAGGAUUAUGAUUGGUUUUUUUUAAUAAUUUUUUUUUCUGAUUGCAAACAUAAAAUUUUUGAAGAAAUGUUGUAAAACUAAUACAAAAAAGAAAUACUC
This 564-nucleotide long non-coding RNA is filed under the name Pongo abelii (Sumatran orangutan). RNAcentral describes it as "lincRNA". The record is from RNAcentral. Lineage: Eukaryota; Metazoa; Chordata; Mammalia; Primates; Hominidae.